UGGGUUUGACAUGCACGUGGUCGGUUGGCUUUCACCGCCCUACCACGUGCAUGUCAAACCCAGGUAAGGUUCUUCGCGUUGCAUCGAAUUAAACCACACGCUCCGCUGCUUGUGCGGGCCCCCGUCAAUUCCUUUGAGUUUUAGCCUUGCGGCCGUACUCCCCAGGCGGUGUGCUUAUCGUGUUAACUAAGGCGCGCACCCAAUUAAGAGCACA
This 214-nucleotide unclassified non-coding RNA is filed under the name uncultured Anaerolineae bacterium. RNAcentral describes it as "contains 16S-23S intergenic spacer region". Lineage: Bacteria; Bacillati; Chloroflexota; Anaerolineae. The record is from RNAcentral.